CCUACGGGUGGCAGCAGUGAGGAAUAUUGGUCAAUGGACGCAAGUCUGAUCCAGCGACGCCGCGUGCAGGAAGACGGCUCUAUGUAUUGUAAACUGCUUUUGUACGAGGGUAAAUGCAGAUACCCGUCUCUGACUCAACGUAUCGCUCCAAUACGGACCCGCCAACACCGGGCAAGCAGCCGCGGUAAUCCGGAGGUUUCAAGCGUUAUCCGGACUUAUUGGGUUCAAAGGGUGCGUAGGCGGUUGGAUAAGUUCGAGGUGAAAACCCGGGGCUCAACUUCGGAACUGCAUCUGAUACUGUUCGACUAGAGUGUAGGUGAGGUAAGCGGAAUGUUUGGUGUAGCGGUGAAAUGCUUAGAGAUCAUGAGGAACACCCGUGGCGAAGGCAGCUUACCGGACU
This 400-nucleotide ribosomal RNA is filed under the name uncultured bacterium. RNAcentral describes it as "partial 16S ribosomal RNA". It matches the Rfam family "Bacterial small subunit ribosomal RNA", at positions 338 to 735 of the family's 1533-position model. The record is from RNAcentral.